AACAAUGAGGGGCAAUCCUUCCUCUCCUAACUC
This 33-nucleotide transfer RNA is filed under the name Crocodylus niloticus (Nile crocodile). RNAcentral's name for it is "partial tRNA-Met". The record is from RNAcentral. Lineage: Eukaryota; Metazoa; Chordata; Crocodylia; Crocodylidae. RNAcentral also lists the same sequence under 2 other names.